UUUAUAAUAAUUGUUUUAUGUAGAAUUUGUUGAAAUUAAUUUUAAAAAAAAUAAUUUUAUUAGUUUAGAUAUAGUAAUUAUAAAAGAAAAAUAAAAAAACUAAAGUUUACAAGUACUGAGAAGGAAAUAAUAAUUUUAUCUUAAUUAUUAUAGUAAUAGUAAAAUUUUGUAUCUUGUGUAUUAGAGAGAAUUAAAAUUAAUUGCAUAAGUGCAAUAAUCUCGAAAUAAAUAAUAGCUAAUUUUAUAUAAUAGUUUUUGUAGCAAAAAUAUUUUAAAUAUAAAAUUAAAGAUGAAAUGUUAAACGAGUUUUAUUAUAUCUAGUUUCUUAAAAAAUAAAUUUAAUUUAGUCUUUUAAUAAAAGUGAAUAAAAGUAUAAGAAUAGGAGGGUAAAGCUUCUUGUUCAAUAAUAAAAUUAUAAUAGUGGUGUGAGUAUUGAUUAUUUUUUCUAAGCUUGAAAGUAGCUAUGAAUUUAAAGUGUUUUAAUUUAAAAUAAGAUAAAUAGUAAUUUAUUAUCACUUUAAUUUGUAUUAAGAAUAUGUUUAAAAUAAAUUUAAAUAUGGUAUAAUGAUUGUAUUAGUAAAUAAAAUUAUUAAACAAAAAAAUAAACUUUAAAUGAAAUUAUACAAAAUAAGUAUGAAAUAUUUAAGGAAUUCGGCAAAAAUUUUUCUUGCCUGUUUAUCAAAAACAUGUCUAUUUGAAGCUAUAAAUAGUCUAGCCUGCUCACUGAUAAAUUAAUUUAAGAGCCGCAGUAUCCUAACUGUGCAAAGGUAGCAUAAUCAUUAGUUUUUUAAUUGGAAACUUGUAUGAAAGGUUGGACAAAGAAAAUACUGUCUCACUUAUUCAAAUUGAAAUUAACUUUUAAGUGAAAAGGCUUAAAUAAAUCAAAGGGACGAGAAGACCCUAUAAAGUUUUAUAUAUUGGCAUAAAUAAAUUGAAUUUAAAAUAAUAAUUUAUUUUUGUUGUUAUAUUUUAUUGGGGCGAUAUAGAUAUAAAUUAAUUUAACUGUUUUAAAUUCAUACAAUAAUAUUUGAAUAUAAUAUAAAUAGAUCCUUUAUUUAAGAUUUUCAGACCAAAUUACUUUAGGGAUAACAGCGUUAUUUUUUUUGAGAGUUCCUAUCGAAAAAAAAGUUUGCGACCUCGAUGUUGAAUUAAAAUGUCUUUAUGGUGCAGCCAUUAUAAAAGAAGGUCUGUUCGACCUUUAAAAUUUUACAUGAUUUGAGUUCAAACCGGUGUGAGCCAGGUUGGUUUCUAUCUUUUGAUAAAUAAAAAUUAUUUUAGUACGAAAGGAUUAAAUAAUUGAUUAAAAAUCAUUAAUUAUUAGCUAAUAAUUUUGUAAAUU
RNAcentral lists this ribosomal RNA (1339 nucleotides) under Eucrate crenata. Its description in RNAcentral is "16S ribosomal RNA". The stretch from base 1085 to 1243 matches the Rfam family "Archaeal large subunit ribosomal RNA", at positions 2542 to 2701 of the family's 2987-position model. Lineage: Eukaryota; Metazoa; Arthropoda; Malacostraca; Decapoda; Goneplacidae. The record is from RNAcentral.